UAGAGUUUKAUCCUGGCUCAGGACGAACGCUGGCGGCGUGCUUAACACAUGCAAGUCGAGCGAGGCCCUCCUUCGGGGGGUGCCCUAGCGGCGAACGGGUGAGUAACACGUGGGCAACCUGCCCUCAGCUCUGGGAUAACUCCAAGAAAUUGGUGCUAAUACCGGAUGUGACCGCUGACCGCAUGGUCUGGUGGUGGAAAGAUUCAUCGGCUGAGGAUGGGCCCGCGGCCUAUCAGCUUGUUGGUGGGGUAAUGGCCCACCAAGGCGACGACGGGUAGCCGGCCUGAGAGGGUGACCGGCCACACUGGGACUGAGACACGGCCCAGACUCCUACGGGAGGCAGCAGUGGGGAAUAUUGCGCAAUGGGCGAAAGCCUGACGCAGCGACGCCGCGUGAGGGAUGACGGCCUUCGGGUUGUAAACCUCUUUCAGUAGGGACGAAGCGCAAGUGACGGUACCUACAGAAGAAGCACCGGCCAACUACGUGCCAGCAGCCGCGGUAAUACGUAGGGUGCAAGCGUUGUCCGGAAUUAUUGGGCGUAAAGAGCUCGUAGGCGGUCUGUCACGUCGGCUGUGAAAACCCGAGGCUCAACCUCGGGCCUGCAGUCGAUACGGGCAAACUAGAGUACUGCAGGGGAGACUGGAAUUCCUGGUGUAGCGGUGAAAUGCGCAGAUAUCAGGAGGAACACCGGUGGCGAAGGCGGGUCUCUGGGCAGUAACUGACGC
Molecule: ribosomal RNA, 725 nt
Filed under: Modestobacter sp. UAPS01112
Lineage: Bacteria; Bacillati; Actinomycetota; Actinomycetes; Geodermatophilales; Geodermatophilaceae
Description: bacterial SSU rRNA
Rfam family: Bacterial small subunit ribosomal RNA
Source: RNAcentral